This 468-nucleotide ribosomal RNA is filed under the name uncultured bacterium. RNAcentral describes it as "partial 16S ribosomal RNA". It matches the Rfam family "Bacterial small subunit ribosomal RNA", at positions 28 to 507 of the family's 1533-position model. The record is from RNAcentral.
GACGAACGCUGGCGGCGUGCUUAACACAUGCAAGUCGAACGGAAAGGCCCUGCUCUUGUGGGGUGCUCGAGUGGCGAACGGGUGAGUAACACGUGAGUAACCUGCCCUUGACUUUGGGAUAACUUCAGGAAAAUGGGGCUAAUACCGGAUAGGAGCUCCUGCUGCAUGGUGGGGGAUGGAAAGAUUCGGCGGUUGGGGAUGGACUGGCGGCUUAUCAGCUUGAUGGUGGGGUAGUGGCUUACCAAGGCUUUGACGGGUAGCCGGCCUGAGAGGGUGACCGGCCACAUUGGGACUGCGAUACGGCCCAGACUCCUACGGGACGCAGCAGUGGGGAAUAUUGCACAAUGGGCGGAAGCCUGAUGCAGCAACGCCGCGUGCGGGAUGACGGCCUUCGGGUUGUAAACCGCUUUCGCCUGUGACGAAGCGUGAGUGACGGUAAUGGGUAAAGAAGCACCGGCUAACUACGUG